Procambarus clarkii (red swamp crayfish) is the source of this 865-nucleotide non-coding RNA. NCBI's taxonomy places the organism in Eukaryota, Metazoa, Arthropoda, Malacostraca, Decapoda, Cambaridae. The record is from RefSeq and is a predicted model, not a curated record.
CAUCCUUUAAAGGGAAAGUCUAUGUGUUUGAAUGUUACAGCAAUUUGAGAUUGAUUGUUUACUUGCAGAGGAGUUAGGCUCGUGAUCCCAGGCGGGAUGUUAAGGCCCAGACGGUCAUGACAACCAGAGAUUUAUAAUUAUGGAGGAGACCGAGGAAAAGAAGAGAAGAAUACGUAUAGAGGAAAAGCUGAAGAGAUAUGAGAAAAUAGAUUUUUUGGGAGAAGGACAGUUUGCAACUGUGUACAAAGCCCUGGAUGUAGAAACAAAGCAAAUUGUUGCAGUGAAAAAGGUAAGCAAAUAUUUUAUAGAUGUUAAUACAAAUUUUACAGUAUAAUGUUUAAAUUAAUACAAAAAUAUUUUUUAUUUCGUAAAUUUCUCGAGAAUAAAAAAGCAUUUAGAUGAUUAUAUCAUGUAUGAGGCUUUAUUAUUUAUUAGCUAUAGCAAAAGAAGAAUGAAAUUUAAUCAGUUGAAACAUACCAGUACUUAGUUAAAAGUAUUCCAAGCACAGUAUAUUGUAGUACUGUACUGUACUGUACUGUAGGGAUCUAGGAAGGAGGUAUCUAGGUAUCUACUGAACAGUUUUGUGUACUGUAUCUACUUAAAACUUUCAAGAAUUUCUUAUAAUGAUGAAGGAAGAUCUCUAUUUUUAUUGGCCCAUUUACCCUGGAGCUAGACUGUAGAACUACAGUAAUUUUAUAAAUGGUUGAGGAUAUGAGGGAAGACCCUGAAUGUGUCACAGUAUACAAAAGAAUAAGUGUAACUGUACCAAAACUUCUUAAGACUUACCUUGAUGCUUAGGGAUUCUCCCAGCAUUCUUGACUGCAAAUAAUACAAAGCAACAUCUUUCGUUUGAAGUUUUCUGUUC